GUUGAUCCUGCCGGAGGUCACUGCUAUUGGGAUUCGACUAAGCCAUGCGAGUCGAGAGGGUUCGGCCCUCGGCAGACUGCUCAGUAACACGUGGAUAAUCUGCCCUUAGGUGGAGGAUAACCUUGGGAAACUGAGAAUAAUACUCCAUAGAUCUAAGAUGCUGGAAUGUACUUAGAUUAAAAGCUCCGGCGCCUAAGGAUGAGUCUGCGGACUAUCAGGUUUAGUCAGGGUAAGGACCUGACUAGCCUACAACGGAUACGGGUUGUGAGAGCAAUAACCCGGAGACGAUAUCUGAGACACGAUAUCGGGCCCUACGGGGCGCAGCAGGCGCGAAACCUUCACAAUGUGCGAAAGCGCGAUGAGGGGAUCCCAAGUGCUUGCACUUAAGUGUAAGCUGUUUCUUUGUUUAAAACGCAGAGAGAGGAAGGGCUGGGUAAGACGGGUGCCAGCCGCCGCGGUAAUACCUGCAGCUCAAGUGGUGACCGCUAUUAUUGGGCCUAAAACGUUCGUAGCCGGCUGAGUAAAUGCUUGGGUAAAUCGUGCCGCUUAACGGUACGAAUUCCGGGUAGACUGCUCAGCUUGAGACUGGGAGAAGCUAGAGGUACUCCUGGGGUAGAGGUGAAAUUCUGUAAUCCUGGGGGGACCACCAGUGGCGAAGGCGUCUAGCUAGAACGGGUCUGACGGUGAGGGACGAAACCCUGGGGCGCAAACCGGAUUAGAUACCCGGGUAGUCCAGGGCGCAAACCUGCUUGCUUGAUGUUAGCUGGGCUCCGGGCUCAGCUAGCGUCGGAGAGAAGUUGUUAAGCAAGCUGCCUGGGAAGUACGAUCGCAAGAUUGAAACUUAAAGGAAUUGGCGGGGGAGCACAGCAACGGGUGGAGCGUGCGGUUUAAUUGGAUACAACGCCGGAAAACUCACCGGAGGCGACGGUUACAUGAAGGCCAGGCUGAUGACCUUGCCUGAUUUUCCGAGAGGUGGUGCAUGGCCGCCGUCAGUUCGUACCGUAAGGCGUUCUGUUAAGUCAGAUAACGAACGAGACCCUCAUCCUUAAUUGCUAUUGACAACUUUGGUUAUCAAGCACAUUAAGGAGACCGCUGGCGAUAAGUCAGAGGAAGGCGAGGGCAACGGUAGGUCAGUAUGCCCUGAAUCUUCCGGGCUACACGCGCGCUACAAAGGCCAGGACAAUGGGUUUCAACACCGAAAGGUGACGGUAAUCUCGAAGCCUGGUCAUAGUUCGGAUUGAGGAUUGAAACUCAUCCUCAUGAAGCUGGAAUCCGUAGUAAUCGCGGAUCAACAUCCCGCGGUGAAUAUGCCCCUGCUCCUUGCACACACCGCCCGUCAAACCAUGCGAGUUGGGUCGAAGUGAGGAUGUAGUAUUUUGCUGCGUUCAAACUUAGGCUUAGCAAGCGGGGUUAAGUCGUAACAAGGUAUCCGUA
RNAcentral lists this ribosomal RNA (1434 nucleotides) under metagenome. RNAcentral's name for it is "bacterial SSU rRNA". It matches the Rfam family "Archaeal small subunit ribosomal RNA". The record is from RNAcentral.